CAGAGAACAAUGUGUGCUGUUGGACAGACGGGGGCGGCUGAGGGACAUAAAACUGAAUGUUCAGCUAAAUUGAGCUACAGGAAAAUUUGUGUCAGUUGUAAGCAUCUGAACAUCGUUAGAAGAUACAGAGCCUUAAUCAGAAAUUGAGGAUCUACAGGUCUCUCCUCAGGAAUGAAAGACUAAAAGCAAGUUGGAAAAUUGUAGCCCAUUCAAAUAGUGAAGCUGUGAGAUCACCAUGAGUGUGCAGUAUAUUUAUACAGCCAGAAUGCUAUAUGAAUGUGCACAGAGACAGCAUUGUGUGAGCUUGUACAGAGAUGGACAGAGCAGAAAGUUUGUAUAGAGGGAGUACACUUGAUUGUGAUGGAAAAAAUCAAUCAAAUUGAGCACUUUUCCAGACUGCAAGAAAUUAAAUUCAAACAUCACGAUAUAUAGGUUGAAAAUGAAAUUGGUCAGGAAAAUGGGGGUGGGGGUGGGGAUGGGGGGAGGGUGUUUGAAUCAGCCUUUAGCCAACUAUCACUUUGAACAACAUCCAGAAAUGAGGUAUUCUGAGGCUACCAUUAACUGUAUAGUGGAACAAGCGUCUGGGCCAUGUUCAGCAGAAAGAAAACAUUGCAUUCAGAUAUCCAGAAUGUUUGAUUCCUUUCAUACACACUGCCCUAAGUAUAUUGAGGAUUACACAUGCAUAUAUUCAGCAUCUGAGUAACAUGCCAUUUUAUAGAUUUCACCAGAAGCGCAUUAAACCCAGAAAAAAAAUCUUGAGCCCAAUUUCAUAAAAUGUAAACAUCCAUAAUACACUAAUAAUAAGAGGGCCCCAGACCCCCCCCCACUUCCCAGUAUAACUCUGCUCCCUUAAGGUGGCCAUACAUGGUAAGAUUUGCUCGAUUGGGGAGGCUGCCAAACGAGCAAAUCUUUCCCUUAAUAUCACAAUAUCAUGCUAAAUGUGAUGAAGGGGAUAAGAAAAGUCAGAGCAAGGACCGCAUCAAUUAUCCAUUGCUUUCCUGAUCCGACGAAAAAUCAAGCCUGUCCAAUCGACAUCUAGACAAGUUUUGGCCAGAUCUCGGUCGGGGAGGCCUGUCAGAGGGCCCCAUACACAGGCAGAUAAGCUGCAGAGUCGAUCUUAAGGACCUAAAUCUGCAGUUGAAAUCUGCCUGUGUAUGGCCACUCCUGAUGUGCACAUCUGAGGUGUCAUUACAAAGGCAGCAGUCAAAUGUUAUAGAGCACUAAGGGGUGAAAAAUUGCACUGUUGCACUGGAGGGCACAACACAGCUUAGCACCCUGCUCCCACUGUUGCUCCAAUACUGACAAUGCUGUUCUUCAUGAAGAGAGAGACAGCCUUUUCUGUAAAUCUUGCAAAUGGUGCCAUUGCCAAUUACAAUUUUAAUCAACAGCAUUAAUUAGCAAUUAGCAAUGUAUUAAUAUGUACAAUUAAGGCCAAUUAAAAUCAAAUUGAUUAUUAUCAAUUAACUCACUAAUAAUAAAUAUAUAAGUUUCACACUUCCCCAAUGGACACAUUAAUGUUCACUGAUCCUCUUUAAAAACAAAAAAACAUACAUUCACAAGAAAAUCCACAAAAAAUCACAGCCUCAUUAUUCAUGACCGAUGACAUUAUCACCCAGUAUGGGCAAUAAUACAUCCCGCAUUUUCUUCCCACUGGCUAAAAUGCAAAUCACUGGUGGGGAAACAUAUGGGACACGGCUACUUUCAGAAGUAGCCAGAAGUUACUAGUCCAUGAUU
Long non-coding RNA from Xenopus tropicalis (tropical clawed frog), 1734 nucleotides. RefSeq lists it as uncharacterized. The transcript has 3 exons. Lineage: Eukaryota; Metazoa; Chordata; Amphibia; Anura; Pipidae. The record is from RefSeq and is a predicted model, not a curated record.